Molecule: ribosomal RNA, 463 nt
Filed under: uncultured bacterium
Lineage: Bacteria
Description: bacterial SSU rRNA
Rfam family: Bacterial small subunit ribosomal RNA
Source: RNAcentral
ACGCGAAAGGGACUUCGGUCCUGAGUAAAGUGGCGCACGGGUGAGUAACGCGUAGAUAACCUGUCUUUACGUCUGGAAUAAUACGCCGAAAGGGGUACUAAUACCGGAUAUUCUUGCUUUAUAUAAGUUUUGCAAGCAAAGGUGGCCUCUGACAUAAGCUACUGCAUAAAGAGGGGUCUGCGUACCAUUAGCUUGUAGGUGGGGUAAUGGCCUACCUAGGCGACGAUGGUUAGCGGGUCUGAGAGGAUGAUCCGCCACACUGGCACUGGAACACGGGCCAGACUCCUACCGGGAGGCAGCAGUGAGGAAUAUUGCGCAAUGGGGGCAACCCUGACGCAGCGACGCCGCGUGAGCGAGGAAGGCCUUCGGGUCGUAAAGCUCUGUCAAAGGGAAAGAAAUGUAUAAUGGUUAAUACCUGUUAUAUUUGACGGUACCCUUAAAGGAAGCACCGGCUAACUCCGUG